UGAUUCCCGAUGAUGAACAAAUUGAAAAGCUGAAGAGCGGUAAGCGUGGUUGUUUUCUUCAUCAGCCUAUACUCACCACCACUGUAACCUCUCUCUCUCUCUCUCUCUCUCUCUCUCUCUCUCUCACAUACAUACAUACAUACAUAUAUAUAUAUAUAUGCAGUGCUGUUGAGUAUACAGGCUGUUGAUGAACGCCACUUGCUUCAAACCGUGAAUGAUUCGUUAAAAGCUAUGAGAUCUGAGGG
This 245-nucleotide long non-coding RNA is filed under the name Prunus dulcis (almond). Its description in RNAcentral is "sRNA ncRNA". The record is from RNAcentral. Lineage: Eukaryota; Viridiplantae; Streptophyta; Magnoliopsida; Rosales; Rosaceae.